UUCCAGCUCCAAUAGCGUAUAUUAAAGUUGUUGCAGUUAAAAGCUCGUAGUUGAAUUCGGGGUCAGUAGAUUGGUCAUGCCACUGGUAUGUACUGGUCUCACUGAUUCCUCCUUCCUGAUGAGCCGUAAUGCCAUUAAUUUGGUGUUGCGAGGAAUCUGGACUGUUACUUUGAAAAAAUUAGAGUGUUUAAAGCAGGCUAACGCUUGAAUACAUUAGCAUGGAAUAAUGAAAUAGGACGUUCGAUCUUAUUUUGUCGGUUUCUAAGAUUGACGUAAUGAUUAAUAGGGAUUAUUGGGGGCAUUAGUAUUCAAUUGUCAGGGGUGAAAUUCUUGGAUUUAUUGAAGACUAACUACUGCGAAAGCAUUUGCCAAGGAUGUUUUCAUUAAUCAAGAACGAAAGUUAGGGGAUCGAAGACGAUCAGAUACCGUCGUGGUCUUAACCAUAAACUAUGCCGACUAGGGAUCGGAUGAUGUUAAUUUUUAAUGACUCAUUCGGCGCCUUACGGGAAAC
RNAcentral lists this ribosomal RNA (511 nucleotides) under uncultured Glomus. Its description in RNAcentral is "SSU rRNA". It matches the Rfam family "Eukaryotic small subunit ribosomal RNA", at positions 583 to 1098 of the family's 1831-position model. The record is from RNAcentral. Lineage: Eukaryota; Fungi; Glomeromycota; Glomeromycetes; Glomerales; Glomeraceae.